UUCGCCCUUUUACCGGUGCGGGCCGUGAGAGCGGGAGCCCGGAGAUGGGCACUGAGACAAGGGCCCAGGCCCUACGGGGCGCAGCAGUCGCGAAAACUCCGCAAUGCGCGAAAGCGUGACGGGGCUACCCCGAGUGCCAUCCGCUGAGGAUAGCUUUUCCCAGGUGUAAUGAGCCGGGGGAAUAAGGAGAGGGCAAGUCUGGUGUCAGCCGCCGCGGUAAUACCAGCUCUCCGAGUGGUAGGGACGAUUAUUGGGCUUAAAGCGUCCGUAGCCGGCUUAGCAAGUCUCCUGUUAAAUUCAGCGACCUAAUCGUUGAGCCGCGGGAGAUACUACUAGGCUAGGAGGCGGAAGAGGCCGACGGUAUUCUCGGGGUAGGGGUGAAAUCCUAUAAUCCCGGGAGGACCACCAGUGGCGAAGGCUGUCGGCUAGAACGCGCCCGACGG
RNAcentral lists this ribosomal RNA (443 nucleotides) under uncultured crenarchaeote. RNAcentral's name for it is "bacterial SSU rRNA". It matches the Rfam family "Archaeal small subunit ribosomal RNA", at positions 252 to 697 of the family's 1478-position model. The record is from RNAcentral. Lineage: Archaea; Thermoproteati; Thermoproteota.